This 270-nucleotide unclassified non-coding RNA is filed under the name fungal sp. RNAcentral describes it as "partial internal transcribed spacer region". The stretch from base 1 to 46 matches the Rfam family "Eukaryotic small subunit ribosomal RNA", at positions 1786 to 1831 of the family's 1831-position model. The record is from RNAcentral. RNAcentral also lists the same sequence under 1 other name. Lineage: Eukaryota; Fungi.
AAGUCGUAACAAGGUAACCGUAGGUGAACCUGCGGUUGGAUCAUUAAUGAAUUAUGUCUUGACGUGAAGUCAAGGCUAAUUAGAGGUUGAAGGUUUGAAAGUGGUCGCAAGGCGCCGGAUAACCCUCCCUCGCUUACACCUGUGAACUGUUUGUCUUUGGAAGGAGUAGCUAACUUCCACUGACUACCCAAAUUUAUAGUCUUUAGAAACUAGUCUUAAUUAAACAACGUAAUGUUGAUACAACUUUAGACAACGGAUCUCUUGGCUCUC